Molecule: ribosomal RNA, 253 nt
Filed under: uncultured bacterium
Lineage: Bacteria
Description: partial 16S ribosomal RNA
Rfam family: Bacterial small subunit ribosomal RNA
Source: RNAcentral
UAAGGCGGGUGCAAGCGUUGCUCGGAAUUACUGGGCGUAAAGCGCGUGUAUGCGGCCUCGUGUGUCUGGCGUGAAAGCCCCGGGCUCACCCCGGGAAGCGCGUUGGAAACUGCGAGACUAGAGUUCCGGAGAGGAAGGUUGAAUUCCAGGUGUAGCGGUGAAAUGCGUAGAUAUCUGGAAGAACACCGGUGGCGAAGGCGGCCUUCUGGACGGUGACUGACGCUGAGACGCGAAAGCGUGGGGAGCAAACAGG